UUUAAAAAUUAUUAAGCACGGCAUUUAUUGAAUAAUAUUGUUAUUUUUAUGUUAAAUAGCUGAUUUUUUUCUCUGAAUGAACCAUGCCUUAUCUGAAAGAUUUAGCUGUAACUUUACUAUUUUAAGAAAACUAACAAGAUCACAUCCCUGCCUUUCUCCUUUUUCCCAUUUCUUUCUUCCUCCUUCUCUCUCUGUCUGCCUUCCUUCCCUCCCUUUUCUCCUUUCUUGCCUUGUCUCAUCCCACCUCUCUUUUCCUUUCUUUUCUCUCACCCACGAAAUGGCCAUGUGCACAAGCCUGAUGGAUGCCUCAUUCUGUGAAUAAACUGGCGGUGUUGAUCUACAGCUGUAUACAGACCACAUCUUUCUUCUAAAGCUGCAAGGCACACAUUUAAACUCAAAUCUCAGAGAUUGCAACACCUAGAUUGCAGUACAAAUUGGUAUGACCGACCAGACCCAGCAACCAUCGAUCUUCAUUCUUCCUGCCACCCUGAAAACUGAAACCUUUUGUAGCAAGAGGUAACUAAAAUUCUGAAGUCGGCUUGCAAUAAAGGGAAGCAACAACUUUAAGAUUGGACUGAAAUAUCUGACAGCUCUCUGAAACAAAACAAAAACAAAAUGUACC
Molecule: long non-coding RNA, 622 nt
Filed under: Homo sapiens (human)
Lineage: Eukaryota; Metazoa; Chordata; Mammalia; Primates; Hominidae
Description: HSALNT0375986
Source: RNAcentral